AAUCAGCAUUUAUCUGCUUGCUGUACCGGUACAGCCAUUACCUUGUACCGGUACAGACUGGCAGAAACGUGGCAGCAAGGGUCUUUUCGUAAUUUCACAUCUUAACCCUUAUCUAUACCCCCUGCACGACCACAGGAGCUCAGUGGAGGUUGCUGGUGAUCAGAGAGAGCUUCUCCCACCUUCUCCACUCUCUCUCUCUAGGGUUUUUCUCUCUCUACGUGGAAUUCGUCGUUUCGCGCCGUUUCCGCGCCGCGCUCGUUGUUC
Molecule: long non-coding RNA, 264 nt
Filed under: Ananas comosus (pineapple)
Lineage: Eukaryota; Viridiplantae; Streptophyta; Magnoliopsida; Poales; Bromeliaceae
Description: long non-coding RNA (ACOM_LNC040705)
Source: RNAcentral